CUCUGUGACUCCUACGGGAGGCAGCAGUGGGGAAUAUUGCACAAUGGGGGAAACCCUGAUGCAGCCAUGCCGCGUGUGUGAAGAAGGCCUUCGGGUUGUAAAGCACUUUCAGUAGGGAGGAAGGUAGUGUAGUUAACACCUGCAUUAUUUGACGUUACCUACAGAAGAAGCACCGGCUAACUACGUGCCAGCAGCCGCGGUAAUACGUAGGGGGCAAGCGUUAUCCGGAAUCACUGGGCGUAAAGGGUGCGUAGGCGGCUUAGCAAGCCAGGGGUGAAAGGCAUUGGCUCAACCAAUGUAAGCCUUUGGAACUGUUAGGCUUGAGUGCAGGAGAGGUAAGUGGAAUUCCUAGUGUAGAGGUGAAAUUCGUAGAUAUUAGGAGGAACACCAGUGGCGAAGGCGACUUACUGGACUGUAACUGACGCUGAUGCACGAAAGCGUGGGUAGCGAACAGGAUUAGAUACCCUGGUAA
RNAcentral lists this ribosomal RNA (472 nucleotides) under uncultured bacterium. RNAcentral describes it as "bacterial SSU rRNA". It matches the Rfam family "Bacterial small subunit ribosomal RNA", at positions 328 to 793 of the family's 1533-position model. The record is from RNAcentral.